Molecule: unclassified non-coding RNA, 412 nt
Filed under: Hevea brasiliensis (rubber tree)
Lineage: Eukaryota; Viridiplantae; Streptophyta; Magnoliopsida; Malpighiales; Euphorbiaceae
Source: RNAcentral
GCAAAAAGGGGACGGCCCCAAAUUUCAACUUAAUAAGCCACAACCCGAACCAUCAUCAUCCGUCCGCUCCCCAAUAGAAACCUGCCUGAGAAUAUAUCUCUAUUUAGUUGAUGCAGAAGGUUUCUGAAUUUGGAAUGAUAAAGACUUCAGUUCCACCUUUCAAAGCAUUUCAAUUUCCAUCUUGUAAGAUUACUGGGUUUAGGCAUUUAAAGUGCAACGCAUCCAAAAUGGAACUCACUCUAACACGUCCCGACGAUUGGCAUCUUCACCUUCGCGACAAUGAACUUCUCGAAGCUGUUGUCUCUCACAGUGCCAAUCAUUUUGGAAGGGCGAUCGUUAUGCCAAAUUUGAAACCUCCCAUUACCACUACUGCUGCUGCUGUUGCUUACCGAGAAUCUAUAUUGAAAGCACU